GACGUAGGGCGCGAGCGUUGUCCGGAUUUAUUGGGCGUAAAGAGCGUGUAGGCGGCCAGGUAGGUCUGGUGUGAAAACUCGAGGCUUAACCUCGAGAUGUCAUCGGAAACCAUUUGGCUAGAGUCCGGAAGAGGAGAGUGGAAUUCCUGGUGUAGCGGUGAAAUGCGCAGAUAUCAGGAAGAACACCAAUGGCGAAAGCAGCUCUCUGGGACGGUACUGACGCUGAGACGCGAAAGCGUGGGGAGCGAACAGG
Molecule: ribosomal RNA, 253 nt
Filed under: uncultured bacterium
Lineage: Bacteria
Description: partial 16S ribosomal RNA
Rfam family: Bacterial small subunit ribosomal RNA
Source: RNAcentral